AGGCAAGUGCGGCAGCUACACAUGCAAGUCGAGCGCGCCCUUCGGGGUGAGCGGCGGACGGGUUAGUAACGCGUGGGAAUGCGCCCAGAUCUAAGGAAUAGCCACUGGAAACGGUGAGUAAUACCUUAUACGCCCUUCGGGGGAAAGAUUUAUCGGAUUUGGAUCGGCCCGCGUUAGAUUAGGUAGUUGGUGGGGUAAUGGCCUACCAAGCCUACGAUCUAUAGCUGGUUUUAGAGGAUGAUCAGCAACACUGGGACUGAGACACGGCCCAGACUCCUACGGGAGGCAGCAGUGGGGAAUCUUGGACAAUGGGGGCAACCCUGAUCCAGCCAUGCCGCGUGAGUGAUGAAGGCCUUAGGGUCGUAAAGCUCUUUCGCCUGUGAUGAUAAUGACAGUAGCAGGUAAAGAAACCCCGGCUAACUCCGUGCCAGCAGCCGCGGUAAUACAGAUGGGGUUAGCGUUGUUCGGAAUUACUGGGCGUAAAGCGCGCCUAGGCGGAUUAUUCACUUUGAGGUGAAAUCCCCGGGCUCAACCCUCGAACUGCCUCUAAUUUGCU
Molecule: ribosomal RNA, 556 nt
Filed under: Shewanella sp. BACT-*2
Lineage: Bacteria; Pseudomonadati; Pseudomonadota; Gammaproteobacteria; Alteromonadales; Shewanellaceae
Description: bacterial SSU rRNA
Rfam family: Bacterial small subunit ribosomal RNA
Source: RNAcentral